This 75-nucleotide transfer RNA is filed under the name Peptococcaceae bacterium. RNAcentral's name for it is "tRNA-Cys". It matches the Rfam family "tRNA". From Rfam's summary of the family: Transfer RNA (tRNA) molecules are approximately 80 nucleotides in length. Their secondary structure includes four short double-helical elements and three loops (D, anti-codon, and T loops). The record is from RNAcentral. Lineage: Bacteria; Bacillati; Bacillota; Clostridia; Eubacteriales; Peptococcaceae.
GGUGCGGUGGCGAAGUGGUAACGCUGCGGCCUGCAAAGCCGUCAUCCGUCGGUUCAAAUCCGACCCGCACCUCCA